CUAAGUCGUAUGCUUAUCUCAAAGAUUCAAUCAUGCAUGUACAAGUAUGAACUAAGUCAAACUGUGAAACUUUGAAUGACUUAUUAAAUCACCUAUAAUUUGUUUGAUCGUACUUGCUAUUUGAAUAAUCAUAGUAAUUCUAGAGCUAAUAUGUGCAACAAACCCGCCUUCUGUAAGGAACACAAUUAUUAGAAAAAAGGUCAACGCAAAACUAGUUCAUUGCUCUAAGGAUUCAUGAUAACAUGAAAGAUCGAACAAUCUUUGUGUCGGCAACACAUCAAUCAAAUUUCUAUGGUGGUGAUGGGGGAUGGAGAAUUAGGGUUUGAUUCUUGAGAGCUACCUUGAGAAAUGGCUACCACAUCCAAGAAAGGUAUGAGGUACACAAAUUACCCAAUCCUAACAAGCGAGGUAUUGAAAAAAAUAAUAAUAUUAGGCUCUUUGAGUUUGGUAAUUGUAAUAAGUACAAUCUAAAUUCCUUAACAAGAUUCUAUUGGAGGCCAAGUCUAGUGCUAAUUCCAGCUCCAACAAUGUAUAUUUAAGUUGUUGUAUUUAAAUAGUUUGUAGUAGGUGUGCAGCGUUAGUCUCAUCCUUUCUUUUGGCGAUGCUUUCCUAGCUUUAAUUGGCUGAGUCAUUCCUCCAGUGCUGUUACUUUGAAGAAAUUAUAGUGCUUAAUGCAAGUUUUUGCACUAUAUCUAUUAGCAUUAGAUAAUGUCAUAGGAUUUUGAUCCUAUUAUAUUGGCCUUCAGGAUCAGAACAAUGAUAAAUAUGGACAAUCAGGGGCAUUUGUAUUUCAUAGUUAGAUGUAAAAUUCUUGAAAUGAUGAAAGACGAACAGUUGGGAAAGUAUUUUCCAAGGAUAUUUUCUCAACUGAAGAGUGAAAAUUGGGGGCUCGAAGGCAAUCAAAUACUUUCCUACUCUCAACCAUAAACGAUGGUGACUCGAAAUCAGCAAAAACUAUUAAUAGGACAUCACCUGCAACUUUUGACUGAAAGAGGAGUUUGGUCGCAAGACUGAAACAUAGUAAAGGCACCACCAAGAGUGGACAUGCAGAUCAAUUUGACUGAACAUAGGAAAACUUACUAGAUCUAGACAUUGUAAGAAUUGAUAGACUAUAAGAAUUUGAUGGAGCAAUGUUCUGGCUAAUUUCGUUUAUGAACGUGGCCUCAACUUACUAACUAGCUAUAUAGAGGUGACCCUCUGCGACCAUCUUCUAAGACGGACUAUGGCCACUUAGGGUGAGGAUGUUUGAGGCAAUAACAAGCUGUGAUGUCAAUAGAUAUUAUGGAUUGCAUUGGUGCUAGACUGAUGUAUUAAAUGAGCAUAUAUCUUUGGUUGACAUGAGAGGAAAAUCUUUGAAAUUUCAAUGUGAUGGGGAUAGCUUCCAGCAAUUGUUUGUCUUAAAUGAGGAAUUCCAAGUAAGUGCAAGUCAUCAGCUUUCAUUGACAAAGUCCCUAUUCUGUGUACACAACUCUUCUCACUCCUACUGAUUAUAUGGUCGGGUAAAGUGUUCGGAUCAUGGAAAGGUGGGUAGUUCCCUGCUUGCCGCAUUGCAAGAAGUCAACUCAACCUUAUCAUUUAUAGGAAGGUGAACCUAUGGUAAGAUCAUUUGACGAUUUAGGGAAAA
This 1624-nucleotide ribosomal RNA is filed under the name Begonia fuchsioides. RNAcentral's name for it is "SSU rRNA". It matches the Rfam family "Eukaryotic small subunit ribosomal RNA". Lineage: Eukaryota; Viridiplantae; Streptophyta; Magnoliopsida; Cucurbitales; Begoniaceae. The record is from RNAcentral.